Long non-coding RNA from Parus major (Great Tit), 1130 nucleotides. RefSeq lists it as uncharacterized. NCBI's taxonomy places the organism in Eukaryota, Metazoa, Chordata, Aves, Passeriformes, Paridae. The transcript has 4 exons. The record is from RefSeq and is a predicted model, not a curated record.
CAGGAAACGAGCGGCCGAGUACGCACGCCAGGCCCUGCCAUACCUGGAGAGCCGGCAGGAGCACCUGAGAGAGGUGGCCAGGAGGUUCAUCGGGUCCGCCAGGAUUCUCUUGAGGGGGCAGAAGGAAGAGCUCCGAUUCCUCAGCGAGGCCCUUCAAGCCUCAAAGAAAAAAACGGUCUAACCUGUAUGUUCAAGAGCAGUUUGCCAGAGAAGCAGAAGAAUUAGUCAUCUUCAGGAUCCAGUGAACCAGUGUCCCAAGAACAGCAGGAGACACUGAAGAGGACAGACACCACCUCCCAGUGGCACUAGAGCUCCAGGCACAGCUGAGCCUGUGGGAAGCUCAAGUAGCUUCAGCCCUCUCCCUCUCUCCAGCCCUGAGACCGUGCCUACCACCUUUUUUUCCCUUCCAGCUCAUCCCUUUGCUUCAUCUUCCAAAUAAUAAACAGUUUGGCUUUUCAUUUUAUCUGCAUCUCUGUGGAACUGAAGUGGUGCAAAUCCUGAGUGCUGGGACACACAGACCCCUCCUGCCAUUCUCUUCCACACCGUGUUUUGUGUAGAGACGCAGAGGAACGAGGGCAGAUCAAACUGGAAAGGUCCUUGGGCUGAAGUUCCAGUUACACAACAUUGUAGAGGUAAAGAUCUUGCUGAGCACCCUGAAUGCCAGUUGUGAGAGAAGGAGCCUGUGUGUCAGGAACCAAAGUUGUGUCUAAGGCCCUGCCAUAUUUGGUCUGCUGCUGUGCACAUUGACAAGAUAAUGACUAAACCCAUUUACACCACUGGACCUUCAGAGGAAAACUGUGCCCUUCUACAGGAUCAUUACUUCAACAGAAACACAUCUGUUCCUCCAGGAGGACUGCAGACACCAUUUAACUGGACUGCUACCAACACCCUGACUAACAGGGUGUCAGAUUGAAUUCAGACUCUGGCACUAGACAGUGGAGAAGAGAUGAGGCCUGGUUCUGGAGACGCAAGGACAAAAUGCAAGCCUUUUUGAUGCAUAGGGUGCCCUGAAGGUGCACAGCCUGCCUGCCCCUCCCACUGGAGCACCAUAUCCAUCUCCUGCUGCUGCUCAGUGGCUUUUCACCAAUCCAGGUGUUGGUAUGUAUUAUUUGCAACAGCUACUAAUAAAA